Molecule: ribosomal RNA, 460 nt
Filed under: uncultured bacterium
Lineage: Bacteria
Description: partial 16S ribosomal RNA
Rfam family: Bacterial small subunit ribosomal RNA
Source: RNAcentral
CCUACGGGAGGCAGCAGUGAGGAAUAUUGGUCAAUGGGCGAGAGCCUGAACCAGCCAAGUCGCGUGAAGGAUGAAGGAUCUAUGGUUUGUAAACUUCUUUUAUAUGGGAAUAAAGUGCGGUACGUGUUCCUUUUUGUAUGUACCAUAUGAAUAAGCAACGGCUAACUCCGUGCCAGCAGCCGCGGUAAUACGGAGGCUGCGAGCGUUAUCCGGAUUUAUUGGGUUUAAAGGGUGCGUAGGUGGUUAAUUAAGUCAGCGGUGAAAGUUUGUGGCUCAACCCUAAAAUUGCGGUUGAAACUGGUUGACUUGAGUAUAUGUGAGGUAGGCGGAAUUCGUGGUGUAGCGGUGAAAUGCAUAGAUAGCACGCAGAACUCCGAUUGCGAAGGCAGCUUACUGAACUAUAACUGACGCUGAGGCACGAAAGCGUGGGGAUCAAACAGGAUUAGAUACCCUUGUAGUC